GAUGAACGCUGGCGGCGUGCCUAAUACAUGCAAGUCGAGCGAACAGAUGAGGAGCUUGCUCCUCUGACGUUAGCGGCGGACGGGUAAGUAACACGUGGAUAGCCUACCUAUAAGACUGGGAUAACUUCGGGAAACCGGAGCUAAUACCGGAUAAUAUAUUGAACCGCAUGGUUCAAUAGUGAAAGACGGUUUUGCUGUCACUUAUAGAUGGAUCCGCGCCGCAUUAGCUAGUUGGUAAGGUAACGGCUUACCAAGGCAACGAUGCGUAGCCGACCUGAGAGGGUGAUCGGCCACACUGGAACUGAGACACGGUCCAGACUCCUACGGGAGGCAGCAGUAGGGAAUCUUCCGCAAUGGGCGAAAGCCUGACGGAGCAACGCCGCGUGAGUGAUGAAGGUCUUCGGAUCGUAAAACUCUGUUAUUAGGGAAGAACAAAUGUGUAAGUAACUAUGCACGUCUUGACGGUACCUAAUCAGAAAGCCACGGCUAACUACGUG
RNAcentral lists this ribosomal RNA (497 nucleotides) under uncultured bacterium. Its description in RNAcentral is "partial 16S ribosomal RNA". It matches the Rfam family "Bacterial small subunit ribosomal RNA", at positions 28 to 507 of the family's 1533-position model. The record is from RNAcentral.